CCUACGGGCGACAGCAGUGGGGAAUAUUGGGCAAUGGGCGCAAGCCUGACCCAGCAACGCCGCGUGAAGGAAGAAGGCUUUCGGGUUGUAAACUUCUUUUCUCAGGGACGAAUCAAGUGACGGUGCCUGAGUAAUAAGCCACGGCUAACUACGUGCCAGCAGCGGCGGUAAUACGUAGGUGGCAAGCGUUAUCCGGAUGUACUGGGUGUAAAGGGCGUGUAGGCGGGAAAGCAAGUCAGAGGUGAAAACCAUGGGCUCAACCUGUGGCCUGCAUUUGAAAUUGUUUUUCUUGAGUACUGGAGAGGCAGACGGAAUUCCUGGUGUAGCGGUGAAAUGCGUAGAUAUUAGGAGGAACACCAGUGGCGAAGGCGGUCUGCUGGACAGCAACUGACGCUGAGGCGCGAAAGCGUGGGGAGCAAACAGGAUUAGAUACCCGUGUAGUC
This 443-nucleotide ribosomal RNA is filed under the name uncultured bacterium. Its description in RNAcentral is "partial 16S ribosomal RNA". It matches the Rfam family "Bacterial small subunit ribosomal RNA", at positions 338 to 795 of the family's 1533-position model. The record is from RNAcentral.